UGAGGAACAUGACUUUCGGUGGGGGAGUAGCCGGCCCAACGGCCGGGUAAUACCGCGUACGACCAUUUGGGGACAUCCCCGAAUGGUGAAAGCAGCAAUGCGCCGAAAGAGUGCCUCGCGGCCUAUCAGCUAGUUGGUGGGGUAAUGGCUCACCAAGGCAACGACGGGUAGCUGGUCUGAGAGGAUGGCCAGCCACAUUGGGACUGAGACACGGCCCAGACUCCUACGGGAGGNAGCG
RNAcentral lists this ribosomal RNA (238 nucleotides) under uncultured bacterium. RNAcentral's name for it is "partial 16S ribosomal RNA". It matches the Rfam family "Bacterial small subunit ribosomal RNA", at positions 118 to 353 of the family's 1533-position model. The record is from RNAcentral.